GCUUCCUCUUCCUUUCUGGCCUAGCAGUAUACCAUCGUGCUACCCACUCUGCUAAUCCAAUCAUCUGUUGAAGGGCAAGUAGGCUUUUCCAGGUUUUAGAAUAAUGAAUACAGCUGCUCUGUACAAACUUUCUCCUAUAGGACGUUGGGACAAGAUAACCUUUCUAUAGGAAAGCAGCUAAAUGCAUGCAUUGCCCCACGCAGGAAUACAAGGCACAGAGCAGAAGGAAACAAAGCCUUGCUGUGCCCCGGCUCUGCAGAAACAGCCUGAGGCUCUGGCCUCUGCCUAUCGGUGACUUGUCCAACAGCUGAGCAGUGCUCCGCAACUGUAUUUAUGCUGACAUCUGAUGUUAAUGACUAGACUGGCUUUUGAAGUUGCAACAAGGUAAGAGAUGUCUCAAGUACCCCAGAAGACACGGACGUCUCUAAUAGCACUUCCACUACCAGGAACUGCCUGUACCCAAUCAAAGUUGGGUAAAUGAAAGAAAAGUGGUAUUUAUCAACUAUCUACAGGCACCAGGCAUUGUGAUAGCAGGUGUUCUCAUACAGGAAAGAUACAACAUUAGUAAUAAUGUCAAAACCGUAUAAGAAUAAAGGCUACCAGGCCUGUGCUAAAUAUUUCACAUGGAAGUUUAAACCAUUCAUGUAUAUUUAGUCUUCUAAAACUCCACAAGAUAACCUUCUUGUGACUUUAUGCAUCAGUUCCUAACACUCUCAAUCUGUCUCUCCCAUGCCAGACUGGCCUGGCACAUGCCAUGUGACUGACUUCCAGUCUGGCUCUGGCUGACACAGAGAGUUUCAGCUACUGGCCCCCAUCUGGGCUCUUCUAAGUCAGGGUCCAUGACAGAAGGGGGGGGGCUCCCAUUCACUUUUGACUUCUCUUCUUCCUUAGCAGCCAGCCUAUA
This is a long non-coding RNA of Canis lupus familiaris (dog), 904 nucleotides long. RefSeq lists it as uncharacterized. The record is from RefSeq and is a predicted model, not a curated record. The transcript has 3 exons. Lineage: Eukaryota; Metazoa; Chordata; Mammalia; Carnivora; Canidae.